AUGGGGCUCUUCUCCGGCAGCAACAGCAAGUCGAAGGGCAAGGCCCCCGUCGUCCCCUUCCCCGCAGAGUUCACCCCGCCUCCGCCUGCACCGGCUCGCCGGCAGAGGCAGCGGAUGAACGUGCCCGUGCACCAGGCGGAGUGGCACUGGCGCCACCGCGUGCCGCUGCCGUACCCCGACGUGACGCUGCCACACGAUUGGCAUCUAGAUCCGGAAAGGAUCCCAGUGCCGGCGGCGCCGCGGUCGGCUAGGGCGCAUGCAGAGGAGGUGCAUCGUCGGCGGGCGCUCCCGACGCUGGAGCAGUGCCGCGACGAGGCGCACGCCUUCGACUUGCCCAACUGGGCGCGCUGGGAGGAAGUCCAGGCGGCCCUUGCGGCUGUUUACCGGGAGAGCGAGGAGGACGAGCGGCGCAGGGCGAAGGUGGCAGAAGAAGAAGAAGCUGGGUACGAGGCGGCCAUGACCCUCUCCGCGGCCAGCGACUGCGUGGUGCCUCCGGUGGCCCCGCUGUCCCCUCCCCGACGCCUCGUCAAGGCCGACCUGGAGCCGCAGACGUAG
RNAcentral lists this ribosomal RNA (555 nucleotides) under Triticum aestivum (bread wheat). RNAcentral's name for it is "partial small subunit ribosomal RNA". Lineage: Eukaryota; Viridiplantae; Streptophyta; Magnoliopsida; Poales; Poaceae. The record is from RNAcentral.